RNAcentral lists this ribosomal RNA (424 nucleotides) under uncultured bacterium. RNAcentral describes it as "bacterial SSU rRNA". It matches the Rfam family "Bacterial small subunit ribosomal RNA", at positions 123 to 541 of the family's 1533-position model. The record is from RNAcentral.
AAUCUACCUAGUAGAAGGGGAUAGCCCGAGGAAACUCGGAUUAAUACCGUAUACGUCCUUAGGGAGAAAGAGGGCUUAGCUUUGAUGCUCUCGCUAUUAGAUGAGCCUGCGUAAGAUUAGCUUGUUGGUGAGGUAAAGGCUCACCAAGGCGACGAUCUUUAGCUGGUCUGAGAGGACGAUCAGCCACAUUGGGACUGAGACACGGCCCAGACUCCUACGGGAGGCAGCAGUGGGGAAUAUUGGACAAUGGGCGCAAGCCUGAUCCAGCCAUACCGCGUGUGUGAAGAAGGCCUUCGGGUUGUAAAGCACUUUAAGUAAGGAAGAAAAGAGUAUUGUUAAUACCAAUACUCCGUGACAUUACUUACAGAAUAAGGACCGGCUAAUUCCGUGCCAGCAGCCGCGGUAAUACGGAAGGUCCAAGCGU